UAUCCACACCAGAGUAUAUCCGCUCGCGGCAGCCAACUCGGACGACCUACAAAAGGAGACCCCGAACUCCCUCUCGAGCACUCACCAAUCCACAUUGACCCGAGCCUCAUGCGAAGCACCACAGAGGACAUAGAGGAGGUCUUCUUCCCCAACUCUGCCCGCCUGAUCCGCUUCGGGUCCAGCCUAAAUUGGCCCAAGGUGGUCGAUGUCCUCUGCACUAGCCACGCCCGUGGACCCCUAGUAGCUUAUCUUCUCUGAGUCGCGCAUCAAUUUGACGUGCGCAUGUCUUUGUGGUGAGAUCCUUCCUCACCCGAAGCCGACGAUCACCGGAGAGGAAGCCGUCAAUGUUGUGGUCCUCGCGGGUAAUCAAGUCCGCCACCUAUGAACACAGAAUCAUCCCCUGAGCAAGACUGUGCCAGCCCCAUCCUUAGAGUCGCUGCUACUCGCCGUCGGUGACCACCGCGAACUCUUUUUCACCGAUUUUGACGAAGGCGAUCUCAUGGAUGAAGAGUACGAUAGCAAGUCAGACUCCUAGAGGAGUCCUAGUAAGUCUUGCGAUCUUGGACUCCACCAUUGCAGUGUCCGCUUGCGCUACCUAUAAUAAAUUGUCGAGCCCCACGUUGACACCAACAUGUUGUAGAAUAUUUAGUCGUAUCAGCCACUCCAUUGUGACAUAUUUGUUGGAAAUACGCCCUAGAGGCAAUAAUAAAUUAGUUAUUCUCAUUUUC
Molecule: long non-coding RNA, 728 nt
Organism: Hordeum vulgare subsp. vulgare (domesticated barley)
Lineage: Eukaryota; Viridiplantae; Streptophyta; Magnoliopsida; Poales; Poaceae
Exons: 2
Source: RefSeq, a predicted model, not a curated record